Molecule: ribosomal RNA, 205 nt
Filed under: uncultured bacterium
Lineage: Bacteria
Description: partial 16S ribosomal RNA
Rfam family: Bacterial small subunit ribosomal RNA
Source: RNAcentral
CGCGUAGGCGGCGGGGUAAGUCGGGUGUGAAAUCUCAGGGCUCAACCCUGAAACUGCACUCGAUACUGCUCUGCUUGAGGACUGGAGAGGAGACUGGAAUUCACGGUGUAGCAGUGAAAUGCGUAGAUAUCGUGAGGAAGACCAGUGGCGAAGGCGGGUCUCUGGACAGUUCCUGACGCUGAGGCGCGAAGGCCAGGGAGCAAAC